This is a long non-coding RNA of Juglans microcarpa x Juglans regia, 1467 nucleotides long. RefSeq lists it as uncharacterized. The record is from RefSeq and is a predicted model, not a curated record. The transcript has 2 exons. NCBI's taxonomy places the organism in Eukaryota, Viridiplantae, Streptophyta, Magnoliopsida, Fagales, Juglandaceae.
UAACAGCAGAACCCUGGAGUGUAGUACUCUUCUUAGAGGGAAAUCUCUGGUAGUGUCUCAAUGUUUUUACGAGGGAAUGUGAGGCAUGUAUAUUUGAUGCUAGAAUGGGGGGAAUCUCACGUGCUUGGCGGUGGAAGAUGGUCAUGGAUGCUCCACUAAUUUGGCUGCAGAUCAAGUGUGAAGUAGGCCCCGUGAAUUUUCUUGCAGAUUUUUCCUGGUCCCCUAUCUUUUGCACAAAGUGAUCUAGCACUGAACAAAGAUCCUAACCUAAACAGAUCGCAAAACCCCAUGCAAGAGUCAUUAGCCUAAUUGAAAUAUUGGGGUUUUAAUCACUGUUUGCAGCAAAAGUUCUUGGCUUGAUUCUUCAAAUUCACUACCCUUCUCCUCCCCCAACAACGCUAUAUUGCUAGCUCCAAAGAUAAAUUGAUCUUGUGCUUCAGUAACUUUAGCCAGGUUAAUUUCCCCCAAAACUGUUGAAAACAAAAGAAAAAUACCCGCUUAAUUCGUUAGAUGUUAGAAGACAAUUUGAGAUACCCCCAAAUGGGAGAACAUUGUCAUGAAGCAAAACAGGAGAAAACAUAUUGAUGUUGACCCUCCUGUACGGGAGUCCAUUCUUUUCAAGAAAGUUUGUGCCAACAAAUUUUUUGGUCACUGUCAUGACCUAGCUAGCUAUAAUAUCACAUUUCUUAGUAUCUAGCUAGCAACUACUACUAUUCUUUCUGCCUAUAUAAGAGAUCAACUUAGGUGAAAGAUGCUAUGCAGGAAAGGGCAUUCGAUAAAUUAUAUAUCAAAAGACUAGUCAUCUAAGAAUAUUAUGGCUACAUGCAAGCGCCUUCUUCUGGUUGCUUUUGUGUUUCUUUGCUUCAUUUCUAUCACUGCUAGAGCACGGAGUCUGCGGGCGGCUACUACUAAUACUAAUCAUGAAGCAGGUCCAAAGGGAGACGUUGAUGGUCUACUAUUUACACCAAACGAAGAUGGGAUGGAGGCCAGUAGUGAUGAAUUAGUGUCUAUGGAUUACACUCCAACAAAGAAGAAGCCUCCGAUUCAUAACUUAUAAGAUUUUCCAGCUUUUGUUCGAGCAAGUACCAGUUCAACUCGAUCCAGGCCAUUUCGUUAAUACUUCGACUUUACUUAAGCUUUUGGGUCAUGUAUACAGUUUCUUGAUGGGGGGGAUACAAAAAUUUUGGAAAUUAUGUUUUUAGUAAAAAUGUAAGCCAGAAAUAGAUAGCCGGCCCGCUACAGCUAGCUACGGCCAAUUUAUAAUGGGUGUGCAAAGUCAAGUUAAUUAAAGAUAUGGGAAGUUUUGAUGAGGGGGAAAAAGGGUUCUUGACCUUAUUUAUGCUUGGUGAUCGAUCUGUAUAGUUGGUGUUGGUUUUUGUGCCUCAAAUACCUCUAUAUAUCAUGUUAUUAGAUUCUCAAGUUCAUGUAAUGAUCUUCUGAUCUUAACUGAAUUUAAGUUUUCUGCUA